This 345-nucleotide unclassified non-coding RNA is filed under the name Hevea brasiliensis (rubber tree). The record is from RNAcentral. Lineage: Eukaryota; Viridiplantae; Streptophyta; Magnoliopsida; Malpighiales; Euphorbiaceae.
UGUGGAGAUCCCAUGAUAUUUGAUGGUGCAAGAAACCUUACUGUUCUUAGAAAAUUUUAGAUCGUCUAAGAUCUUCAAAAUCUUUCAAUUACCAUGUUGCUUCUGUUGGGGUAUACCGCAAGGAAAGUGGAGUGUGUCUAGAAGUCUUCCAUGACUAGUUCACUGUUGUCCAAACAUAUGACACCACUAAUUGACUAAGCAAGCAACUUCGUAAAAGUUCAUCCUGUGCUGGAGCACAGUUAUAAUUAUCCUAGUUCAGAACUGGGCUUUAUGUUAUUGUUCCACUUGGGCCCUAACAUGCAGUGAUAUCAAUUGAAUUGAAUCUAAAAUUUCAUCAGUUUUAGA